GAAUUGUUCGCAAUGGGCGCAAGCCUGACGACGCAACGCCGCGUGGAGGAUGAAGGUCUUCGGAUUGUAAACUCCUUUUGCCUGGGACGAAUUGUUCAGACCUAACACGUCUGAGUUUGACGGUCCCAGGUGAGGCAGCCCCGGCUAACUCUGUGCCAGCAGCCGCGGUAAUACAGAGGGGGCAAGCGUUGUUCGGAAUUACUGGGCGUAGAGGGCGCGUAGGCGGCCCUCUAAGUCGAACGUGAAAUCCCUGGGCUCAACCCAGGAACUGCGUCCGAGACCGGGGGGCUGGAAUCCGGGAGAGGGAUGUGGAAUUCCAGGUGUAGCGGUGAAAUGCGUAGAUAUCUGGAGGAACAUCGGUGGCGAAGGCGGCAUCCUGGACCGGUAUUGACGCUGAGGCGCGAAAGCCAGGGGAGCAAACGGG
This 424-nucleotide ribosomal RNA is filed under the name uncultured bacterium. Its description in RNAcentral is "bacterial SSU rRNA". It matches the Rfam family "Bacterial small subunit ribosomal RNA", at positions 359 to 776 of the family's 1533-position model. The record is from RNAcentral.